AGAGAAUUGAUUUUUCUACUGGAAAUGAAAUAAUUUUAAGACUAUCAAAAAGUGCAAACUCUCUCUAUCUGAGGUCUAAUUGUAAUUUUGUUGGGUUGACUGGAUACCAUGUAUGAUGUAUCAAUGGAUAGACAUUUAUUGGAAUUUUUAGUCUUUCACUAACCUUACUUUAUAGCUUGAGUCAAACUCCAGAACAGGAAUUUGCUUUAUGUUUUUAU
Molecule: unclassified non-coding RNA, 218 nt
Filed under: Hevea brasiliensis (rubber tree)
Lineage: Eukaryota; Viridiplantae; Streptophyta; Magnoliopsida; Malpighiales; Euphorbiaceae
Source: RNAcentral